CAGCAGCCGCGGUAAUACGAAGGGGGCUAGCGUUGUUCGGAAUUACUGGGCGUAAAGCGCGCGUAGGCGGACAUUUAAGUCAGGGGUGAAAUCCCGGGGCUCAACCCCGGAACUGCCUCUGAUACUGGGUGUCUAGAGUUCGAAAGAGGUAAGUGGAAUUGCGAGUGUAGAGGUGAAAUUCGUGGAUAUUCGCAGGAACACCAGUGGCGAAGGCGACUUACUGGUCCGAUACUGACGCUGAGGUGCGAAAGCGUGGGGAGCAAACAGGAUUAGAUACCCCGGUAGUCCCUGUCUCUUAUAC
Molecule: ribosomal RNA, 301 nt
Filed under: uncultured bacterium
Lineage: Bacteria
Description: partial 16S ribosomal RNA
Rfam family: Bacterial small subunit ribosomal RNA
Source: RNAcentral